GACGAACGCUGGCGGCGUGCUUAACACAUGCAAGUCGAACGGAAAGGCCCUGCUUUUGUGGGGUGCUCGAGUGGCGAACGGGUGAGUAACACGUGAGUAACCUGCCCUUGACUUUGUGAUAACUUCAGGAAACUGGGGCUAAUACCGGAUAGGAGCUCCUGCUGCAUGGUGGGGGUUGGAAAGUUUCGGCGGUUGGGGAUGGACUCGCGGCUUAUCAGCUUGUUGGUGGGGUAGUGGCUUACCAAGGCUUUGACGGGUAGCCGGCCUGUGAGGGUGACCGGCCAAAAUGGGACUGAGAUACGGCACAGACUCCAACGGGAGGCAGCAGUGGGGAAUAUUGCACAAUGGGCGGAAGCCUGAUGCAGCAACGCCGCGUGCGGGAUGACGGCCUUCGGGUUGUAAACCGCUUUAGCAUGUGACGAAGCGUGAGUGACGGUAAUGGGUAAAGAAGCACCGGCUAACUACGUG
Molecule: ribosomal RNA, 468 nt
Filed under: uncultured bacterium
Lineage: Bacteria
Description: partial 16S ribosomal RNA
Rfam family: Bacterial small subunit ribosomal RNA
Source: RNAcentral